UACAGAGGGGGCAAGCGUUGUUCGGAAUUACUGGGCGUAAAGGGCUCGUAGGUUGCCAACUAAGUCAGACGUGAAAUCCCUCGGCUUAACCGGGGAACUGCGUCUGAUACUGGAUGGCUUGAGUUCGGGAGAGGGAUGCGGAAUUCCAGGUGUAGCGGUGAAAUGCGUAGAUAUCUGGAGGAACACCGGUGGCGAAGGCGGCAUCCUGGACCGACACUGACACUGAGGAGCGAAAGCCAGGGGAGCAAACGGG
RNAcentral lists this ribosomal RNA (253 nucleotides) under uncultured bacterium. Its description in RNAcentral is "partial 16S ribosomal RNA". It matches the Rfam family "Bacterial small subunit ribosomal RNA", at positions 524 to 776 of the family's 1533-position model. The record is from RNAcentral.